This 465-nucleotide ribosomal RNA is filed under the name uncultured bacterium. RNAcentral's name for it is "bacterial SSU rRNA". It matches the Rfam family "Bacterial small subunit ribosomal RNA", at positions 338 to 795 of the family's 1533-position model. The record is from RNAcentral.
CCUACGGGUCGCAGCAGUGGGGAAUAUUGCACAAUGGGCGCAAGCCUGAUGCAGCCAUGCCGCGUGUAUGAAGAAGGCCUUCGGGUUGUAAAGUACUUUCAGCGGGGAGGAAGGCGAUAAGGUUAAUAACCUUGUCGAUUGACGUUACCCGCAGAAGAAGCACCGGCUAACUCCGUGCCAGCAGCCGCGGUAAUACGGAGGGUGCAAGCGUUAAUCGGAAUUACUGGGCGUAAAGCGCACGCAGGCGGUCUGUCAAGUCGGAUGUGAAAUCCCCGGGCUCAACCUGGGAAUUGCAUUUGAAACUGGCAGGCUAGAGUCUUGUAGAGGGGGGUAGAAUUCCAUGUGUAGCGGUGAAAUGCGUAGAGAUGUGGAGGAAUACCGGUGGCGAAGGCGGCCCCCUGGACAAAGACUGACGCUCAGGUGCGAAAGCGUGGGGAGCAAACAGGAUUAGAUACCCCAGUAGUC